RNAcentral lists this ribosomal RNA (433 nucleotides) under uncultured bacterium. Its description in RNAcentral is "partial 16S ribosomal RNA". It matches the Rfam family "Bacterial small subunit ribosomal RNA", at positions 29 to 507 of the family's 1533-position model. The record is from RNAcentral.
AACGAACGCUGGCGGCAUGCCUAACACAUGCAAGUCGAACGAGACCUUCGGGUCUAGUGGCGCACGGGUGCGUAACGCGUGGGAACCUGCCUUUAGGUUCGGAAUAACUCAGAGAAAUUUGAGCUAAUACCGGAUGAUGUCUUCGGACCAAAGAUUUAUCGCCUUUAGAUGGGCCCGCGUUGGAUUAGCUAGUUGGUGGGGUAAAGGCCUACCAUGGCGACGAUCCAUAGCUGGUCUGAGAGGAUGAUCAGCCACACUGGGACUGAGACACGGCCCAGACUCCUACGGGAGGGAGCAGUGGGGAAUAUUGGACAAUGGGCGAAAGCCUGAUCCAGCAAUGCCGCGUGAGUGAUGAAGGCCUUAGGGUUGUAAAGCUCUUUUACCCGAGAUGAUAAUGACAGUAUCGGGAGAAUAAGCUCCGGCUAACUCCGUG